CCACGGUUCGAAUCCGUGGC
This 20-nucleotide unclassified non-coding RNA is filed under the name synthetic construct. The record is from RNAcentral.